AGUUCUCAACCAUACUUCGGUGUGGCUUGGAUUUGGGGGUUUUUGCAGGCUUCAAAGAAAGUCGGCUCCCCUGAAAAGCAUUAGCGGUGUCCGAGUACCUUUGGUGUGAUAACUAUCUAUGCCUUGGUGUAUACGAUGCAUGCUGCUUCUGAACUUCAUCUUUAUUGACAA
Molecule: unclassified non-coding RNA, 171 nt
Filed under: uncultured Inocybe
Lineage: Eukaryota; Fungi; Basidiomycota; Agaricomycetes; Agaricales; Cortinariaceae
Description: sequence contains ITS2
Source: RNAcentral